UUUGCUAUUCGAUGACCAGUGG
This 22-nucleotide microRNA is filed under the name Branchiostoma floridae (Florida lancelet). RNAcentral describes it as "bfl-miR-4880". Lineage: Eukaryota; Metazoa; Chordata; Leptocardii; Amphioxiformes; Branchiostomatidae. The record is from miRBase by way of RNAcentral. RNAcentral also lists the same sequence under 1 other name.